RNAcentral lists this ribosomal RNA (253 nucleotides) under uncultured bacterium. RNAcentral's name for it is "partial 16S ribosomal RNA". It matches the Rfam family "Bacterial small subunit ribosomal RNA", at positions 524 to 776 of the family's 1533-position model. The record is from RNAcentral.
GACAGAGGGGGCAAGCGCUGCUCGGAAUUACUGGGCGUAAAGGGCGCGUAGGCGGGAUGGCAAGUCGGUCGUGAAAUCCCUCGGCUCAACUGAGGAUCGUCGAUCGAUACUGCCGUUCUUGAGGAUUGCAGAGGAGACUGGAAUUCCCGGUGUAGCGGUGAAAUGUGUAGAGAUCGGGAGGAACACCGGUGGCGAAGGCGGGUCUCUGGGCAAUUCCUGACGCUGAGGCGCGAAAGCGUGGGGAGCAAACGGG